RNAcentral lists this long non-coding RNA (259 nucleotides) under Manihot esculenta (cassava). Its description in RNAcentral is "long non-coding RNA (MESC_LNC009528)". Lineage: Eukaryota; Viridiplantae; Streptophyta; Magnoliopsida; Malpighiales; Euphorbiaceae. The record is from RNAcentral.
UCUUCUGUCGCCUAGCUCCGUAUGUACGGAUGUGUCAGGCGCCUGCUCCAUGCGUAACGGCCAUUAAUUCUCCUCUGAUACGUAUGAUUCUCCUCUGAUACGCAUGCGGAAGGACCUACCAGCGGGGCAUCUUAGUCAUUUUCCCCUUUCCGGGCUGGGUUGAAUGGUAGGGCUGAAGUUGAGCCUGGUGAGGGCCUGAUUACUGGGCCGAGAGGUUUGGGCCGGUUUGAUUGAGGAGUCUAGGCGGAGUCUGGCCCUG